UUAUGGAGCACAGAGUAAAUGGGAAGUAUUAUAUCUAAUCUCAUGCUAUUUUUGUCACACCCUGGCCUUAGUUAUCUUUGUUUUCAUUAUUAUUUUAGUUAGGUCAGGGUGUGACAUGGGGAAGUUUGUGUGUUUUUUGUAUUGUCUUGGGUGUUGUAUGGUUUAGGGGAUUUAGUAGAGGAGAUGGUUUAGUGUUCAGUGUAGGUGUCUAGGAAAGUCUAUGGUUGCCUGAAUUGGGUCUCAAUUAGAGACAGCUGGUUAUUGUUGUCUCUGAUUGGGAGCCAUAUUUAAGGCAACCAUAGGCUUUAGUGUUUUUAUGGGUAAUUGUCUAUGUCAGUGUGUAGUGGUCAGUGUCAGCACCAUUUUCUGUUUAUAUAGCUUCACGGUCGUCUGUUUGUUGUUUUGUCUCGUUUUUCCUUCUUUUAAUAAAGAGAAGAUGUAUUUUUCACACGCCGCGCCUUGGUCCUCUCUCUCUCCUAAAGACGAUCGUGACAAUUUUACACAUUUUGCCAUGAGAAAGAGAGAAAAUGUUGUUUUAGAGCUCGGAUUCUUGAAAGAUUUUUUCCCACAAAUAUUUGUCUAAAUAUUAACACAGUUUGAAAUAUAUAUUUUGAUAGCCCAAAGUAUCAGCUAUCACACCAUGUAAAGGAACAUCCUAUUUUGUGUAUUAUUCAUAAACUGCAACUAACUGGAUUUAUGUCAACUCCGUCAGACACUAUAAAAGGCCUUUCGUUUUUACAUAUUGUCCAACAAUCAAUCAAUCAAUCAAUCAAUCAAAUGUAUUUAAAAAUCCCUUUUUACAUCAGCAGAUGUCACAAAGUGCUAUACAGAAACCCAGCCUAUAGCCCCAAACAGCAAGCAAUGCAGAUGUAAAAGCACGGUGGCUAGGAAAAACUCCAUAGAAAGGCAUGAAUAUAGAAAGAAACCUAGAGAGGAACCAGGCUCUGAGGGGUGGCCAGUCCUCUUCUGGUUGUGUCGGAUGGAGAUAGUACAUGGCCAUUAAGGCCAUGAGAGAGAGAGAGUCAAAACAGCAGUUUCCGGGAUAAGGUAGCACGUCAGGUGAACAGGUCAGGGUUCCAUAGCCGCAGGCAGAACAGUUGAAACUGGAGUAGCAGCACGACCAGGUGUACUAGGGAGAGCCAGGAGUCAUUAGGCCAGAUAGUCUUGAGGCAUCGUCUUAGGGCUCAGAUCCUCCGGGAGGGGAGGGAGAGAGAAUUAGAGGGAGCAUUCUUAAAUUCACACAGGACACCAGAUAAGACAGGAGAAUUACACUAGAUAAAACAGACUGACACUACCCCCCGGCACAUAGACUAUUGCAGCAUAGAUACUGGAGGCUGAGGCAGGGUGGGUUGGGGGACACUGUGGCCCCGUCCGACGAUACCCCCGGACAGGGCCAACCAGGUAGGAUAUAACCCCACUCACUUUGCCAAAACACAGCAUCCACACCACUAGAGGGAUAUCAACCAACUUACUACCCUGAGACAAGGCUGAGUAAAGCCCACAAAGAUCUCCUCCACCGCACAAUCCCGAGGGGACGCAAAACCGGACAGGAACAUCACAGAAGCAUCACGUCUGUGACUCAACCCACUCAAGUGACGCACCCCUCCUAGGCAUAGAAGAGCACUAGAAAGCCAGUAACUCAGCCCCCGUAAUAGAGGCAGAGGCAGAGAAUCCCAGUGGAGAGAAGGGAGGUGGCCAGGCAGAGACCCAAGGGUGGUUCGUCACUUCAGUGCCUUGCCGUUCACCUUCACACCCUGGGGCCAGACUACACUCAAUCAUAGGACCUACUGAUGAAAUGAGUCUUCAGUAAAGACUUAAAGGUCGAGGCCGAGUCUGUGUCUCUCACAUGGACAGGCAGACCAUUCCAUAAAGAUUGAGUUCUAUAGGAGAAAGCUCUGCCUCCAUCUGUUUGCUUAGAAAUUCUAGGGACAAUAAGGAGGCCUGAGUCUUGUGACCAUAGCGUAAGUGUAGAUAUGUACGGAAGGACCAAAUCGGAGUGAUAGGUAGGAGCAAGCCCAUGUAAUGUUUUGUAGGUUAGCAGUAAAAACUUGAAAUCAGCCCUAGCCUUGACAGGAAGCCAGCAGUUAGCACUGGAGUAAUAUGAUUACAUUUUUGGGUUCUAGUCAAGAUUCUAGCAGCCAUAUUUAGCAGUAAUUGAAAUGUAUUUAGUGCUUUAUCCAGGUUGCCAAAGAGUAGAGCAUUGCAGUAGUCUAAUCUAGAAGUGACAAAAGCAUAUAUUAGCUUUUCUGAAUAAUUUUUGGACAAAACGUUUUUGAUUUGUCAGAGGACAAACAUUUUUGAUUGAUUUGUCAGAGGGCAAACCAGAGACGAACUGAUGUCUUUUCGACUGAUAAGAUCUAAACCAGGCAAGAAAUUGUCUGUGUAGACCAAUUAGGGUUUCCAAUCUCUCUAAAAGAAUGUGGUGAUCGAUGGUGUCAAAAGCAGCGCUAAGGUCUAGGAGCACGAGAACAGAAGCAGAGCCUUGGUCUGAUGCCAAUUAAAGGUAAUUUACCACCUUCAUGAGUGGAGUCUCAGUGCUGUGAUGGGGUCUAAAACCAGACUGAAGUGUUUCGCAUACAUUAUUUGUCUUCAGGAAGGCAGUAAGUGUCUGCGCAACAGCUUUUUCAAAAAUGUUUGAGAGGAAUGGGAGAUUCGAUAUAGGCCAAUCCUUUUUUUUCUUCUUUUUUAAAAAACAUUUUCCGGGUCAAGGUUUGGCAUUUUCAAGAGAGGCUUUAUUACUGCCACUUUUAGUGAGUUUAUUAUGUUCAACAUCGGAGGGCCAAGCACAGGAAGUAGCUCCUUCAGUAGUUUAGUUGGAAUAGGGUCCAGUAUGCAGCUUGAAGGUUUAGAGGCCAUGAUUAUUUCCAUGAAUGUGUCAAGAGAUACAGGAUAAAAAAUGUUGAGUGUUUCCAUUGAUUCUAGGUCCUGACAGUUCUGUGCAGACUCAGGACAACUGAGUUUGGGAGAAAUACGCAGAUUCAAAGAGGAGUCCGUAAUGCUUUCUACUGAUCAUGAUCUUUUCAUCGAAGAAGUUCAUGAAUUAAUCACUGCUGAAGUGAAAGCCAUCCUCUCUUGGGGAAUCCUGCUUUUUAGUUAGCUUUGCGACAGUAUCAAAAAUACAUUUUGGAUUGUUCUUAUUCUCCUCAGUUAGGUUGGAAAAAUCAAGCAGCAGUGAGGGAUCUUCGAUAUUGCACGGUACUGUCUUUCCAAGCUUGUCAGAAGACUUCCCAUUUGGUAGAGCACCAUUUCUGUUCAAAUUUUUUGGAAGCUUGCUUCAGGGCUCAAGUAUUUUCUGUAUACCAACUAGCAAAUUUCUUGUGAUAAUUGUUUUUUGUUUUUAGGGGUGCAACUGCAUCUAGGGUAUUAUGCAGGGUUAAAUUUAGAUCAUCAGUUAGGUGGUUAACUGAUUUUUGUACUCCGACGUCCUUUGGUAGGUGGACGGAGUCUGGAAGGGCAUCUAGGAAUCUUUGAGUUUUACGAGAAUUUAUGGUCACUAGUGUAACCAGGAGGAGAGGCCUCAUUAAACACAGUAAAUUAAUCAGGCUUGACCCAUGUUUCAGUCAGGCCAAUCACAUAGAGAUUAUGAUCAGUGAUUAGUUCAUUGACUAUGACUGGCUUGGAAGUGAGGGAUCUAACAUUAAGUAGCCCUAUUUUGAGAUGUGACAUAUCACAAUCUCUUUCAAUAAUUAGAGGAAUGGAGGAGGUCUUUAGUCCAGUUAUAUUGCUAAAGCGUACACAGACACAGUCUCAAUGGGGAUAGCUGUGCUGACUACUCUGACUGAACAGUUGGUUCUAUUAAUGAAAAUCAUAUGGGAUGGAAGCUAUUGAAAUUUUAAGGGAGUAUUUAAACUCAUAGAAAAAAAAACAAAGUCAACAAAUAAACAAAUCAUUAACGUAGAUUUUACAGACGAUGUCCCUGAACCAAAUAUUUUUUACAUAGUACGAAAUGAAAUCCAUUUAAAAUAGCCAAAGUAAAAAAAUACAAAUCUUUUUGCUGUAGAUUGUACAGACAAGCUCCCUGAGCCAAUAACAGCUGGUUGUAUUCAUGAAAGUCAUAUAGGGUGUAAUCUACUCAAGUUUUAAGGAAGUAUUUUUAAUUUAAAGGCCCCCACCAGAGGGCAAUGCCGCCCCUAUUUCAACGUAAUUCCUGUUCUACAGUGGAAAUUCUCGAUCGACCUGUUGGAGACCCCUGUCAUUGACACCUGUGAUUUAGUUGCACAAAUGAAAGUGGAGUGGUCUCCACCGGCCGGGGGCACCGGGCCAUGCAAAGCGAACUCGCCCUGUCUUUUCCCAAAAAACACAGUGCCACCAUGUGUUAAUAGGCAUGAAUUGUUGCCAUAAUUGUAAUCCUACCCCAUUCUUAAUUUACUCAUUGUGAUGUACUCAGGAUCCAAACUCAGUUUUAGACGAGACUGAAUAUCUGACCAAAAUUAUCCUAUUUACACUUUGUAGUCAAUUUUGACUCUAGAAUAAAUGUCCCUGACUCAUAUCGAUUCCACAGGCCGUUUUCACAAGGAUUAGUUGCUUUUAUAGGGGGAGUCGUUAACCCUUUGAUCGGAGGAGAGUAACGUUUUAGCUACAUUUCGCCACCAAAAAGAAAAUACGACCCCGAAUUGCAGAAACAAAGGUUUUAACUUGUUCGCUAUCGUCAGCUGAUUCAGAAUGUAAUUUCUAUCAUCCUGCCACAUUCCGUUGAAAAGGGUAUUGUCGUGCAAAGUGUAAUCUUUAAUAUAAAGCUAACUAUACCCCAGUCACACGUUCAGGAAUUUCACAGCCGCAAUGCAUUAGAAGAGGCGCGCUGUGAGUUUUGAUAGUUCUCUUCAAAUAAACAACUUGGAAGAUGGCAAAUAGCGAAGCGUCUGCGGUGGUGUUCAAAUGGAAGUCAUUUUUGUUCUCAUUAAAAUGAUCUCGACUACUUAUAUAUUGCAUUUUGAUUGCUGUUACAGUGCUAUUUGGGUUGUUGAUUGGAUUAGUUCCGAACAAAUAUGCAAACGUUAUUUCUGUACAUGUUUGACAUUUUACUGCAUUGCUACAAACACAAGCAUUUCGCUACACCCGCUAUAACAUCUGCUGACCUAUGUUCGCGAGCAAUACAUUAUUUGAUUUGACUAUUUCAUCGUACAUCUUUGAACACAGAUUUGACUAGCCGAUUAAAUUCAACUCCACGAUUUAUGAUGGAAUUGAGCUAGCUAGCCACUUGUUGUAAAUACAUGGACUUGUGUUCAAACUGUUUCAGGGUCUGAUGACAAUACUAGGCAUUUAAUUCAGUGGCGAAUAACACCUGUUCACCGGCAGGAGAAAUGCCGCAACAAAAGGUUUUGAGUAAGUCAUGUGGCAAUGUAUAUCUUGCCACUGCACUGGGUGAUGCACUCUGUGACUAAAACGCAGUAGCCCAAAUUCCUCAUUUCCACAGCGCUGCUGGACCUAACACUUCUCUUUCCUUCUAGUUCUCCUGAUUUGUCACCUUGGUUUAUUCGUGUUGAGCUGAUUGUAAUGUUCAUGUUAUGCAAUAUUAGUUUCUACCUGAACAGUUACAGCCUGAAUGGGUCUAGUUUCAUUGCACAUAACCUGUUAUGGUGAAAGUAAUGGAUCUAUGUGAAGGAGUGUGAAUUGGCUGGGCAGCUGCAUCGGUGAAAAAGAAGUGGGAGAAGGAGGUGACUGCCAAGGAGGCACGCCUUAUGGCCAUUUUAGAGUCCAUGAUUAAGAAGUAGUUAUACCUAUUGUAUUUAUAGAUAUUCCUUUAUACAUUUUCUACUGUUUUUGGUGAAGUCUUGAAGUGUAUUUCUGUUUUGUCAUUGAAAGUGUUUCUUCUUUAUAGUAAAUAUUUUUAUUUGAUA
Molecule: long non-coding RNA, 5837 nt
Organism: Salvelinus fontinalis (brook trout)
Lineage: Eukaryota; Metazoa; Chordata; Actinopteri; Salmoniformes; Salmonidae
Exons: 2
Source: RefSeq, a predicted model, not a curated record